RNAcentral lists this long non-coding RNA (203 nucleotides) under Solanum tuberosum (potato). RNAcentral describes it as "long non-coding RNA (STUB_LNC003472)". The record is from RNAcentral. Lineage: Eukaryota; Viridiplantae; Streptophyta; Magnoliopsida; Solanales; Solanaceae.
AUUAGCGAACAGUAGUACCCGAACGUCCCGAACCAUAUACUCAUCUUCUUCUCCAGCAAAAAUUGAGAAUAGCGACCCCUAUACUCGUCUUCUUCACCUUAAAGUCCGCCGGAUUUGGCGCAAAAAUCGGCGGAUAAGCGGUUGUUCCCCCACCUCGAACGUCCCUUUUCCCUUUUUCGAUGAUGUCAGAGCCGCACCAAGUC